This 292-nucleotide ribosomal RNA is filed under the name uncultured bacterium. RNAcentral describes it as "partial 16S ribosomal RNA". It matches the Rfam family "Bacterial small subunit ribosomal RNA", at positions 505 to 796 of the family's 1533-position model. The record is from RNAcentral.
GUGUCAGCAGCCGCGGUAAGACAGAGGGUGCAAACGUUGUUCGGAAUCACUGGGCGUAAAGCGCGUGUAGGCUGCUAUGCAAGUCGGGCGUGAAAUCCCACGGCUCAACCAUGGAAGUGCACUCGAAACUGCAUAGCUGGAGUCCUGGAGAGGAAGGUGGAAUGCUCGGUGUAGAGGUGAAAUUCGUAGAUAUCGAGCGGAACACCGGUGGCGAAGGCGGCCUUCUGGACAGUGACUGACGCUGAAACGCGAAAGCGUGGGGAGCAAACAGGAUUAGAAACCCCGGUAGUCC